Molecule: small nuclear RNA, 18 nt
Filed under: Arabidopsis thaliana (thale cress)
Lineage: Eukaryota; Viridiplantae; Streptophyta; Magnoliopsida; Brassicales; Brassicaceae
Description: snRNA_05627
Source: RNAcentral
UCCAGGAUAAGGAGGGCA